Long non-coding RNA from Apis mellifera (honey bee), 525 nucleotides. RefSeq lists it as uncharacterized. The record is from RefSeq and is a predicted model, not a curated record. The transcript is spliced from 2 exons. Lineage: Eukaryota; Metazoa; Arthropoda; Insecta; Hymenoptera; Apidae.
CGACAAAGUCUCUUCAAGUUCUCUUUUCUCUACGAAAUAAGAUGAUAUCUAAAUUGCAAUAUCAAUCACCUUUCAAUUGUAUCAACAAAAAUCAAUUUUUCAAAAGAACUAAUAAUAAUAGUUGUAAUAAGUUAUAAUAUAUGAAUUAUAAGUUAUAAUAUAUGAAUAAAUAUUUUUAUAAUCUAAUGAUUUAUAAUGAAGUCGAGAUUUCUAAAAUUCUAAAGUUAACCUAAAAGUCUCGAAUACAAAUACCAUUAUGAAAACGUUGGAAAUUGAUGUAACAUCGUAUUAUGUAUCUUCUUUACCGAUCAAUUGAACAAAACCGAUCUACUAGAGAAGACAAUCGACAGGUCGUCGCGUAAAUGUAAUUAUACUUGAAAAAACGGCUUAAACAAUUGGCAAUCUUUUGCCUCUUAAUAGAUUCCUAUAUUACGAAUCUCUCUGCAAGUAGGAGCUAUGGAUCGAUACAACCAAAUUUUACUUGCCAACGAGGUAAAUGUCUACAGAUCGCUUCAAAAAAAAAAA